UACGAGGGAUGCAAGCGUUAUCCGGAAUUAUUGGGCGUAAAGCGUCCGCAGGUGGCUCUGUAAGUCUGUCGUUAAAGAAUGGGGCUCAACCCCAUACAGGCGAUGGAAACUACAAGGCUAGAGUUUGGUAGGGGUCACGGGAAUUCCUAGUGUAGCGGUGAAAUGCGUAGAUAUUAGGAGGAAUACCGGUGGCGAAGGCGACUUUCUGGCCAUAAACUGACGCUGAGGUACGAAAGCGUGGGUAGCAAACAGG
This 253-nucleotide ribosomal RNA is filed under the name uncultured bacterium. RNAcentral describes it as "partial 16S ribosomal RNA". It matches the Rfam family "Bacterial small subunit ribosomal RNA", at positions 524 to 776 of the family's 1533-position model. The record is from RNAcentral.